RNAcentral lists this ribosomal RNA (500 nucleotides) under uncultured bacterium. RNAcentral describes it as "partial 16S ribosomal RNA". It matches the Rfam family "Bacterial small subunit ribosomal RNA", at positions 30 to 523 of the family's 1533-position model. The record is from RNAcentral.
AUUGAACGCUGGCGGCAGGCCUAACACAUGCAAGUUGAGCGGAUGACGGGAGCUUGCUCCUUGAUUCAGCGGCGGACGGGUGAGUAAUACCUAGGAAUCUGCCUGGUAGUGGGGGACAACGUUUCGAAAGGAACGCUAAUACCGCAUACGUCCUACGGGAGAAAGCAGGGGACCUUCGGGCCUUGCGCUAUCAGAUGAGCCUAGGUCGGAUUGGCUUGUUGGUGAGGUAAUGGCUCACCAAGGAGACGAUCCGUAACUGGUCUGAGAGGAUGAACAGUCACACUGGAACUGAGACACGGUCCAGACUGCUACGGGAGGCAGCAGUGGGGAAUAUUGGACAAUGGGCGAAAGCCUGAUCCAGCCAUGCCGCGUGUGUGAAGAAGGUCUUCGGAUUGUAAAGCACUUUAAGUUGGGAGGAAGGGCAGUAAGCUAAUACCUUGCUGUUUUGACGUUACCGACAGAAUAAGCACCGGCUAACUCUGUGCCAGCCGCCGCGGUAA